UUCCUGAUCAGAUCCGUUAAAAGCACAGACCCUCUUCCCAGAGAGCCAGGUCUAGUUAUUCUGGGUGAGACUGAGGGUUCUAUAUUUUCCUACCUCCUCUGCCUCAUUGGACAAACUGGGAGACCUGGGCAAAGCAGCCCAGGGCUGCUCUCGAUGGGCUGGGGCUGAACCUGGCCUCUCGCCAUCACAUCCCCCUGCGGCUGACUCACCAGCUGUAAGUCACUGAACCUGGGGGUCUGUGUCUCUUCAGCUCCAACCUUGGUCCUGCCUUUGAGCCGAGAUCUCACAGUCCUGUUCAGCUAUAACAUGCCAUCCCUUUGCUCAGCGGUUCAGACUUGUCUGCUUUAUAACGUGCUCCUUGAAUACCUCUGACAUCUUUUUCCACGUGUCUUCCCACCAGCUGGAGAGCCUUCACUUCUCUGAUGCUGACCACAACAUCGUGAGGUCCAUUCUAUGAUUCUCUCCAUUUUCCAGCUAAGGAGCCGGAGACCUAAGUCACUUGUCUGCAUUCACACAGCUUUCCUGAGGGGAUGCAGCCUGGGCUCUGUGACCCCAGCAUCUUCAACUGCAGUGGAAACUGAGGCUCGAGAGAAGGGUUCCAAGCUCCCUAUGGACUUCAGGGCCAUCCGCUGUAGGAUUCUAAUUCAGUGCUGUGAUUGGAUGAGCUCGUCAAGGGAGAUAAAGUGCAGAGCAAAGAGCUGAGGACCAAGAAUGGAAAUGAAAGACUAAGAUGAGCAGCAAAGGGAAGAAGAGAAGACAAAGGUGGAGGCAAGCUGGAGCAGCAGAGAAGGGGGGAAGGUGGAGUAAAGCGUCUUAGAAGAAGGUGGAAACAUGUUCUAGUAGAGGGUGAUGCUCCUAUCAGGUGCUGUACAGAAAUGUCAAAAAGGAAACGUAUCUUAAGGCCAGGGGAUUGUUUAAUAUUUGUUGACUGGUUUGGUCAGCAUUUGCCUAAGUCUCCCCAAGCACCUGCAGGUGGAAGGUUGUCGAGGAAGCAAAUGGGCAACACCAGCAGCCUUCCUAGAAUUGUACCAGGUCCAGCACAGAAAGGUCAAGGGAAAUUUGCACUGUGGUUCCAUGCAUCAAAGAUGCAUACCUGGCACAUGCCAAGUAUCAAGGUUGCUUGAAACCCACAGGGUAUCUAUCACUCCUACAAAGCUAUGAAACCUCAGAAUCGCUCUGAGUUAACAAACUGACACUUAGUCACUUAGUUUAACACAUAAUCAGAGAUGGUCUUGACUCUCAUGUACUGGGCCCCCACUACCAUGUGCCAAAGAUCCAGAUCUUGUUUCAAGCUCUCCUCUCAGGUUCUGGCACCAGAUAACACGGAGUAUGGCCAUUUCCAGAAUUAGCUGGCACCCUUGUUCAUCUAGGAUUAUUGAUUGUAAUAUUUUACGUGCAAUGACAGAAUUUACAAACCAAGAUCAUUUUCUUCAACUUUGCCAGUUGCUGAUGAAUCUUUCAGCGUUUCUGAAACCCAGGGACUUUAAGAUGAUCUCGGCUAACACUGGCCUCUUUGGAAGAGGAGACGUUUCUUUCCUUUUCCUUGGUUAAAUAAUAAAUGAACUGGCAUCCAAGUUGCUAAAACUGAACUCCCAUUAGGGGCUUAAUGGCUUGAAAGUGUGUGUGCUGAGAAAGAGAGCUAGGACAGCCUGGAAGUCUUUAGAAACUGUAGGAUGUUAUAACUAAAGCAACAUUGGAGUUCCCUUCGUGGCUCAGCAGUUAACAAACCCAACUAGGAUCCAUGAGGAUGCAGGUUCUAUCCCUGGCCUUGCUCAGUGGGUUAAAGAUCUGGCGUUGCCAUGGGCUGUCAUGUAGGUUGCAGACACAGCUCGGAUCCCAUGUUGCUGUGGCUGUGGUGUAGGCCAGCAGCUGUAGCUCCAAUUCAAUCCCUAGUCUGAGGACCUCCAUAUGCCAUGGGUGCGGACACCCCCCCCUCAAAAAAAACAAAAACAAAAACUGAAGCAACAUCAAAAACCAUUUAUCUUAAGCCUGUCUCUUGCUGAUGAGCAAAAUGGAGCCAAGAAAUGUGAAGGGUUUUGCUCAAGUCCUGCAGCUGGUUACAGCAUUAGAACUAGAGCCUAGGUCUCUUGACUUUAAUCCAGUUCUCUUUCCACUGUGCUGCUCAAAAAAACAGUGCACUGAUCCACGAAUAUCCUCCCCGUAGCAUCCCCAGCAUGUUAGCAUCUAAUAUCACCUACUGUCUCCAUAGGUACAAGCUUGUGCCUUAAGCAAAAGAGAAGGGAAGCAAGAGAGACAGGCAGACAAGCUCUUCAAAACGUAUUGAGCAAAUACUGAAGGAGUUUCUUAAGAGGUAACAUAAGCUUUGGGGAAAGACCACUCAGGCUUUGAAAUAGUCACUCUUGGUUUUAAUCCCAGCUUCAUCCUUUUUGAUGUGCAAGUUUGGGCAAGUUGUUCCUUAAAAUCUGUAUUCGUUUUCCAUUGUUCCUGAGACAAAUGACCACAAACCUAGUGGCUUCAAACCAUACAAGAAGCUCUCCUGUGUUGCAGUGGGUUAAGGAUCUGGCAUUGUCACUGCAGCGGCUUGGGUCACUGCUAUGGUGUGGGUUUGAUCCCUGGCCCAGGAACUUCUACAU
This 2594-nucleotide long non-coding RNA is filed under the name Sus scrofa (pig). Its description in RNAcentral is "lncRNA (ENSSSCG00050068839.1)". Lineage: Eukaryota; Metazoa; Chordata; Mammalia; Artiodactyla; Suidae. The record is from RNAcentral.